UGAUACAACAUGAGUGUGUCACGAUCCAGCCUACGGAUUCUGUUAAAGUAAUACCAAUUAUUCGGUUAUCUCUAAUUGUUAUUGGUGAUUUACAUUAGUGGUCAAUUAAUUAUCUCAAUAAUUGUUAAAAUCAAUUAUUAUCUCCACACGCUAAACCUUAAACCUAAAACCCAACCAAAAUUCUAAACAUUAGACAAUAUACCAAUAUGAUAAACUAAACACGCUAUUCUUAAACCAUAAACCCAAACCCAUAGGAUAAACCUAAACCCAAGUGAUAAACUUUAAACCAAAAGGAUAAGCCCUAAACCCAAAAUUCAAAAGAUGACCCUAAACCUAAAAAAUAAACCUUAAAUCCAAACCCAUAUAAUAAACACUAAACCCAAUGGAUAAACACUAAAUCCUAAACCCGAAGAUAAAUCCUACUCCAAGAGGUGAACCUUAAUCUUAUAUCCAAAAGAUAAACCUAAAUCCAAACCAUAUGUUAAACACUAAAUCGAAA
RNAcentral lists this long non-coding RNA (499 nucleotides) under Brassica napus (rape). RNAcentral's name for it is "long non-coding RNA (BNAP_LNC022434)". The record is from RNAcentral. Lineage: Eukaryota; Viridiplantae; Streptophyta; Magnoliopsida; Brassicales; Brassicaceae.